This is a long non-coding RNA of Gadus morhua (Atlantic cod), 264 nucleotides long. RefSeq lists it as uncharacterized. Lineage: Eukaryota; Metazoa; Chordata; Actinopteri; Gadiformes; Gadidae. The record is from RefSeq and is a predicted model, not a curated record. The transcript has 3 exons.
UGCCAGGGUGGACCGGAGACUGAGGCUGGAGACCAGGGGCCUGCAGCACCGGACCAGAGGCUGUGAGUAAGUGAAGGAGCUAAUGGAGGAGUCGUGCUGAAGGAGGUGAUGGAGGAGCCGUGCUGAUGGAGGAGCCGUGCUGAAGGCCCAGGGCUGGUGGAGGAGCCGGUGGAGGGCCUGCCUGGUGAAUGACGUCCGUCGUGGGACCAGGACUCUGUCUGAGGAGAGCUGCUGGAGGAGCUGAGACGCUGGAGGACGACUAGG